This 509-nucleotide long non-coding RNA is filed under the name Zonotrichia albicollis (white-throated sparrow). RNAcentral describes it as "lncRNA (ENSZALG00000012034.1)". Lineage: Eukaryota; Metazoa; Chordata; Aves; Passeriformes; Passerellidae. The record is from RNAcentral.
CUGCAGCCGAGCGCCCGCCCCGCUGACCCCUUCCCUCCCUCCCGGCUGGCGCGGGCGGCCCCGCUCUCACCCCACCCCGAGGGCGCUCACCUCCUCCUCCUCCUCUUCCUCCUCCUCCUCCUCACUCCCUCCUGGAGACCGUCGGCACCGACGCGCCGGCGUCCCGGCCCCUCCCUCAGCUCAGCGCCGGCCCCCCCUUCCGCCCCGCCGCCCGGGGACCCUCCCUGCCCGCGGGGACGGCGGGACGGGCCCGCCGGGAGAGCCCGGCUGCCGGAGCGGGGCACGGGCGGCAGGAGCCCGGGGAGAAGCGCUGGAACGGGAAACGAACCGCGCGAGGAAAGCGCCGAGCCCCUCAGCAAGAGUUUUGGGAGCGGGGAGGGGUGGGAGGAAUGAAUAACAAGGAGUUCUGCACCAGGAUGGGCUGCUAGAAGACAGAGGAAGCCACACUUGCCAGCUCAACUUCUAGUAUUGUUCUGCAGAGAUUGCUGUAAGGAAAAAUGAAAGAGAAG